AGAGUUUGAUCAUGGCCAAGGAUGAACGAUGGCGGCUGCUUAGGUACUAGAGUUUGAUCAUGCUCUUCUCAUAUAGUGGUAGAUGGUAGAGUAACGUGUGAGGAUCUGCCUACAGGACUGGGACAACAGCUGGAAACGGUUGCUAAAACCGGAUGUGCCGAGAGGUGAAAUAUUUAUAGCCUGUAGAUGAGCUCGCGUCUGAUUAGCUAGUUGGUGAGGUAAGGGCUCACCAAGGCGACGAUCAGUAGCUGGUCUGAGAGGACGAUCAGCCACACUGGGACUGAGACACGGCCCAGACUCCUACGGGAGGCAGCAGUGGGGAAUUUUCCGCAAUGGGCGAAAGCCUGACGGAGCAAUACCGCGUGAGGGAGGAAGGUCUGUGGAUUGUAAACCUCUUUUGAUAGGGAAGAAGUUCUGACGGUACCUAUCGAAUCAGCAUCGGCUAACUCCGUGCCAGCAGCCGCGGUAAUACGGAGGAUGCAAGCGUUAUCCGGAUUUAUUGGGCGUAAAGCGUCCGUAGGUGGUUAUUCAAGUCUAUUGUCAAAGCCUGGGGCUUAACCCUGGAGAGGCGGUGGAAACUGAAUAACUAGAGUGCGGUAGGGGCAGAGGGAAUUCCCAGUGUAGCGGUGAAAUGCGUAGAUAUUGGGAAGAACA
RNAcentral lists this ribosomal RNA (654 nucleotides) under uncultured bacterium. Its description in RNAcentral is "bacterial SSU rRNA". It matches the Rfam family "Bacterial small subunit ribosomal RNA", at positions 8 to 708 of the family's 1533-position model. The record is from RNAcentral.